UUCCUACGGGAGGCAGCAGUGGGGAAUAUUGGACAAUGGGGGAAACCCUGAUCCAGCAAUGCCGCGUGUGUGAAGAAGGCCUGCGGGUUGUAAAGCACUUUCAGUAGAGAAGAAAAGCCUAGGGUUAAUAACCCUGAGUCUUGACGUUACCUACAGAAGAAGCUCCGGCUAACUCCGUGCCAGCAGCCGCGGUAAUACGGAGGGAGCGAGCGUUAGUCGGAAUUACUGGGCGUAAAGCGCACGUAGGCGGCUUUGUAAGUCGGAUGUGAAAGCCACGGGCUUAACCUGGGAAUGGCAUUCGAUACUGCAGAGCUAGAGUAUGGUAGAGGGAAGUGGAAUUUCCGGUGUAGCGGUGAAAUGCGUAGAUAUCGGAAGGAACACCGGUGGCGAAGGCGACUUCCUGGGCCAAUACUGACGCUGAGGUGCGAAAGCGUGGGUAGCAAACAGGAUUAGAUACCCUGGUAGUCCACGCCGUAAACGAUGAGGACUAGAUGUCGGGAGGAUCUGCCCUUCGGUGUCGCAGCUAACGCGUUAAGUUCUCCGCCUGGGGAGUACGCCGGCAACGGUAAAACUCAAAGGAAUUGACGGAA
This 590-nucleotide ribosomal RNA is filed under the name uncultured Gammaproteobacteria bacterium. RNAcentral's name for it is "bacterial SSU rRNA". It matches the Rfam family "Bacterial small subunit ribosomal RNA", at positions 336 to 918 of the family's 1533-position model. The record is from RNAcentral. Lineage: Bacteria; Pseudomonadati; Pseudomonadota; Gammaproteobacteria.